Molecule: ribosomal RNA, 1361 nt
Filed under: uncultured bacterium
Lineage: Bacteria
Description: bacterial SSU rRNA
Rfam family: Bacterial small subunit ribosomal RNA
Source: RNAcentral
GAUGAACGCUAGCGGCAGGCCUAACACAUGCAAGUCGAGGGGUAUGCAGUGCUUGCACUGCAGAGACCGGCGCACGGGUGCGUAACGCGUAUGCAAUCUGCCUUUUACUAAGGGAUAGCCCGUUGAAAGACGGAUUAAUACCUUAUGUUUUUAUCUUCCGGCAUCGGGAGUUAAACAAAGAGAAUUAUCGGUAAAAGAUGAGCAUGCGUCCCAUUAGUUAGUUGGUGUGGUAACGGCAUACCAAGACGAUGAUGGGUAGGGGUCCUGAGAGGGAGAUCCCCCACACUGGUACUGAGACACGGACCAGACUCCUACGGGAGGCAGCAGUGAGGAAUAUUGGUCAAUGGACGCAAGUCUGAACCAGCCAUGCCGCGUGCAGGAUGACAGUUCUAUGGAUUGUAAACUGCUUUUGUACGGGAAGAAACCUUUCCACGUGUGGAAAAUUGACGGUACCGUAAGAAUAAGGAUCGGCUAACUCCGUGCCAGCAGCCGCGGUAAUACGGAGGAUCCGAGCGUUAUCCGGAAUCAUUGGGUUUAAAGGGUUCGUAGGCGGGCUGUUAAGUCAGAGGUGAAAGUUUUCGGCUUAACCGAAAAAUAGCCUUUGAUACUGAUGGUCUUGAAUAUUAAUGAAGUAAUUAGAAUAUGUGGUGUAGCGGUGAAAUGCAUAGAUAUCACAUGGAAUACCGAUAGCGAAGGCAGGUUACUAAUUAAUUAUUGACGCUGAAGGACGAAAGCGUGGGGUAGCGAACAGGAUUAGAUACCCUGGUAGUCCACGCUGUAAACGAUGGAUACUAGCUGUUUGGACGCAAGUUUGAGUGGCUAAGCGAAAGUGAUAAGUAUCCCACCUGGGGAGUACGUUCGCAAGAAUGAAACUCAAAGGAAUUGACGGGGGCCCGCACAAGCGGUGGAGCAUGUGGUUUAAUUCGAUGAUACGCGAGGAACCUUACCAGGGCUUAAAUGGGAGUCGACGUUAGUAGAAAUACUAAUUCCUUCGGGCGAUUUUCAAGGUGCUGCAUGGUUGUCGUCAGCUCGUGCCGUGAGGUGUCAGGUUAAGUCCUAUAACGAGCGCAACCCCUAUUGUUAGUUACCAGCAUUUUUAGAUGGGGACUCUAACAAGACUGCCGGUGCAAACCGCGAGGAAGGUGGGGAUGACGUCAAAUCAUCACGGCCCUUACGUCCUGGGCUACACACGUGCUACAAUGGGCGGUACAGAGGGCAGCUACCACGCGAGUGGAUGCGAAUCUUCAAAGCCGUUCACAGUUCGGAUCGGAGUCUGCAACUCGACUCCGUGAAGCUGGAAUCGCUAGUAAUCGGAUAUCAGCCAUGAUCCGGUGAAUACGUUCCCGGGCCUUGUACACACC